UGAUGAAGCUGAAGAUGAUAAUGAAGAUGAUGACCAUCAUCAUCAUUAUCAUCAAACAAU
Molecule: microRNA precursor, 60 nt
Filed under: Marmota monax (woodchuck)
Lineage: Eukaryota; Metazoa; Chordata; Mammalia; Rodentia; Sciuridae
Source: RNAcentral